This 779-nucleotide ribosomal RNA is filed under the name Bacillus subtilis. Its description in RNAcentral is "bacterial SSU rRNA". It matches the Rfam family "Bacterial small subunit ribosomal RNA", at positions 74 to 842 of the family's 1533-position model. The record is from RNAcentral. Lineage: Bacteria; Bacillati; Bacillota; Bacilli; Caryophanales; Bacillaceae.
GGGAGCUUGCUCCCUGAUGUUAGCGGCGGACGGGUGAGUAACACGUGGGUAACCUGCCUGUAAGACUGGGAUAACUCCGGGAAACCGGGGCUAAUACCGGAUGCUUGUUUGAACCGCAUGGUUACAUAAAUGGCUUCGGCUACCACUUACAGAUGGACCCGCGGCGCAUUAGCUAGUUGGUGAGGUAAUGGCUCACCAAGGCAACGAUGCGUAACCGACCUGAGAGGGUGAUCGGCCACACUGGGACUGACACACGGCCCACACUCCUACGGGAGGCAGCAGUAGGGAAUCUUCCGCAAUGGACGAAAGUCUGACGGACCAACGCCGCGUGAGUGAUGAAGGUUUUCGGAUCGUAAAGCUCUGUUGUUAGGGAAGAACAAGUACCGUUCGAAUAGGGCGGUACCUUGACGGUACCUAACCAGAAAGCCACGGCUAACUACGUGCCACCAGCCGCGGUAAUACGUAGGUGGCAAGCGUUGUCCGGAAUUAUUGGGCGUAAAGGGCUCGCAGGCGGUUCCUUAAGUCUGAUGUGAAAGCCCCCGGCUCAACCGGGGAGGGUCAUUGGAAACUGGGGAACUUGAGUGCAAAAGAGGAGAGUGGAAUUCCACGUGUAGCGGUGAAAUGCAUAUAGAUGUGGAGGAACACCAGUGGCGAAAGCCACUCUCUGGUCUGUAACUGACGCUGAGGAGCGAAAGCGUGGGGAGCGAACAGGAUUAGAUACCCUGGUAGUCCACGCCGUAAACGAUGAGUGCUAAGUGUUAGGGGGUUUCCGCCCCUUA